AGUUUGAUCCUGGCUCAGGACGAACGCUGGCGGCGAGCCUAAAACAUGCAAGUCGAACGGGGUCCAACCGGUGGCAACACCGGUGAAGACCUAGUGGCGAACGGGUGAGUAAAACGUGAGAAACCUGCCCCGAAGACCGGGAUAACCCAAGGAAACUUGGACUAAUACCGGAUACCCUCACGAGACCGCAUGGUCAUGUGAGGAAAUGGAUUUCCGCUUCGGGAGGGUCUCGCGGCCCAUCAGCUAGUUGGCGAGGUAACGGCUCACCAAGGCGACGACGGGUAGCUGGUCUGAGAGGACGAUCAGCCACACUGGGACUGAGACACGGCCCAGACUCCUACGGGAGGUUUUUUUUUUGGAAUCUUGCGCAAUGGGCGAAAGCUUUUUUUUUUUAACGCCGCGUGCCCCCCCCAAGGCCUUCGGGUUGUAAACCGCUUUCAGUGGGGACGAAAUUGACGGUACCCACAGAAGAAGCUCCGGCUAACUACGUGCCAGCAGCCGCGGUAACACGUAGGGGGCAAGCGUUGUCCGGAUUUAUUGGGCGUAAAGAGCUCGUAGGCGGUUCGGUAAGUCGGGUGUGAAAACUCAGGGCUCAACCCUGAGACGCCACUCGAUACUGCUGUGACUAGAGUCCGGUAGGGGAGCAUGGAAUUCCUGGUGUAGCGGUGAAAUGCGCAGAUAUCAGGAGGAACACCAGUGGCGAAGGCGGUGCUCUGGGCCGGAACUGACGCUGAGGAGCGAAAGCGUGGGUAGCAAACAGGAUUAGAUACCCUGGUAGUCCACGCCGUAAACG
RNAcentral lists this ribosomal RNA (793 nucleotides) under uncultured bacterium. Its description in RNAcentral is "partial 16S ribosomal RNA". It matches the Rfam family "Bacterial small subunit ribosomal RNA", at positions 10 to 808 of the family's 1533-position model. The record is from RNAcentral.